RNAcentral lists this ribosomal RNA (407 nucleotides) under uncultured prokaryote. Its description in RNAcentral is "bacterial SSU rRNA". It matches the Rfam family "Bacterial small subunit ribosomal RNA", at positions 355 to 776 of the family's 1533-position model. The record is from RNAcentral. RNAcentral also lists the same sequence under 1 other name.
UGGGGAAUAUUGGGCAAUGGGGGAAACCCUGACCCAGCAACGCCGCGUGAAGGAAGAAGGCUUUCGGGUUGUAAACUUCUUUGACCAGGGACUAAACAAAUGACGGUACCUGGAAAACAAGCCACGGCUAACUACGUGCCAGCAGCCGCGGUAAUACGUAGGUGGCAAGCGUUGUCCGGAUUUACUGGGUGUAAAGGGCGCGUAGGCGGGUAAGCAAGUCAGAUGUGAAAUACCGUGGCUUAACCACGGGGCUGCAUUUGAAACUGUUUAUCUUGAGUAUCGGAGAGGCAGGCGGAAUUCCUAGUGUAGCGGUGAAAUGCGUAGAUAUUAGGAGGAACACCAGUGGCGAAGGCGGCCUGCUGGACGACAACUGACGCUGAUGCGCGAAAGCGUGGGGAGCAAACAGG